GAUAAACGCUGGCGGCGUGCCUAAUACAUGCAAGUCGAACGCUGGAACCAAGCUUGCUUGGUGAAGGAGUGGCGAACGGGUGAGUAAUACAUAAGCAACCUGCCUACAAGGACUGGGAUAAUCUCUGGAAACGGGGACUAAUACCGGAUAGGUAAUCUUAAGGCAUCUUGGGAUUAUUAAAGUUUGAAACACAAGUAGAUGGGCUUAUGGCGCAUUAGCUGGUUGGUGAGGUAACGGCCCACCAAGGCGAUGAUGCGUAGCCGGCCUGAGAGGGUGAACGGCCACAUUGGGACUGAGACACGGCCCAGACUCC
RNAcentral lists this ribosomal RNA (313 nucleotides) under uncultured Bulleidia sp. RNAcentral's name for it is "bacterial SSU rRNA". It matches the Rfam family "Bacterial small subunit ribosomal RNA", at positions 28 to 339 of the family's 1533-position model. Lineage: Bacteria; Bacillati; Bacillota; Erysipelotrichia; Erysipelotrichales; Erysipelotrichaceae. The record is from RNAcentral.